CAGUCGCCACGGGAAUACGUAGGGUGCAAGCGUUAAUCGGAAUUACUGGGCGUAAAGCGUGCGCGGGCGGUUUGUUAAGACAGAUGUGAAAUCCCCGGGCUCAACCUGGGAACCGCAUUUGUGACUGGCAAGCUAGAGUAUGGCAGAGGGGGGUGGAAUUCCGCGUGUAGCAGUGAAAUGCGUAGAGAUCGGGAGGAACAUCAGUGGCGAAGGCGGCCAUCUGGGACAACACUGACGCUGAGGCACGAAAGCGUGGGGAGCAAACAGGAUUAGAUACCCGCGUAGUCCCUGUCUCUUAUAC
RNAcentral lists this ribosomal RNA (301 nucleotides) under uncultured bacterium. RNAcentral describes it as "partial 16S ribosomal RNA". It matches the Rfam family "Bacterial small subunit ribosomal RNA", at positions 509 to 807 of the family's 1533-position model. The record is from RNAcentral.